GCAAGUAGGGGCGGAGCCUGGAAGUUAACUUUUUGAAUGCGAGACGAGCCAACAAUGUUGAAUUUCUAAAAUUUAUUUGAAUUUUAAAAAUUUUAGUAGAAAAUUCACGUAAGGGUCAUGGGCCCCUAUCCGACCCCCUUGUCUCUGCCACUGCCAACAAGCUAAGCUACCUAAUAAUGGCAAUAUACGUGCAUUCGAACUGAUAGGACUACUGUCUACUGGCAAUAAUUAAUACAGUAAGGUCUUGUUUAAAUCUAAUUUUUUUUUUGAAUUUUGAUACUAUAGUAUUUUCAUUUUUAUUUGAUAACGUUGUGCAAUUAUGGAGUAACUAGUCUUAAAAGAUUCGUCUCAUGAUUUACAGACAAACUGUGCAAUUAAUUUUUGUUUUCAUAUAUAUUUAAUGCUCCAUACAUGUGCCGCAAGAUUCGAUGUGACGGAAAAUCUUAAAAAGUUUUUUUGUUUUUGGGGUGAACUAAAUAAGACCUAAGUGCAUCUUCGAGCUAAGAGCAAGUAUUGUAGCAGGCUGUAAGCCGGCUAAAUGCUAAGAUGGAGUGAAGAGAGUAAAAGCGAGUGU
This 574-nucleotide long non-coding RNA is filed under the name Sorghum bicolor (sorghum). Its description in RNAcentral is "long non-coding RNA (SBIC_LNC000408)". Lineage: Eukaryota; Viridiplantae; Streptophyta; Magnoliopsida; Poales; Poaceae. The record is from RNAcentral.